CAUGUUAGGAGAUGAUGGAGAGAGGAUCGUAGGAGAAAAAGGAUGAGAGCCCAGAUACGGUUGCACUAUACCAGUAAGAGGACUCAAGGUUCUGGCAGCGGAAGAUGGCUUUUUGCCUCGCAUAUUCGGUCGAUCAGGCCAAAUGCAUUCAACUUUGUUGUUACUGCAAGCUUGACAUGAUGGCUUUUCACCAGAACACUUUAUUUUUUUCUGCCUACACCGAAUGCAUGCCUGAGAUACUUGACUGAUUACUCGCCUUUUUCG
Molecule: non-coding RNA, 264 nt
Organism: Schizosaccharomyces pombe (fission yeast)
Lineage: Eukaryota; Fungi; Ascomycota; Schizosaccharomycetes; Schizosaccharomycetales; Schizosaccharomycetaceae
Source: the annotation of a GenBank genome assembly